CUCUCUUAAAAUUAAUUUUUUUUCUCUAAAAAAAAUUAGUCUGUGAAUCUGAACAAAACCUGGAUCAUGAUCCACUCUUUGAUCCUUUCCUUGAUCUUCUUCUCCUCUCCCUCUCUUCUCUCUUGGAGCAUCAAUGCUCAAGUGUUGGGCAUCCCUUCUUCCUCCACGUCCAAAGACUGUUGGGCAUCCUCUUGUAUGCUGGUUCCUAACCCA
RNAcentral lists this long non-coding RNA (213 nucleotides) under Elaeis guineensis (African oil palm). RNAcentral describes it as "long non-coding RNA (EGUI_LNC028475)". The record is from RNAcentral. Lineage: Eukaryota; Viridiplantae; Streptophyta; Magnoliopsida; Arecales; Arecaceae.